Molecule: long non-coding RNA, 243 nt
Filed under: Setaria viridis
Lineage: Eukaryota; Viridiplantae; Streptophyta; Magnoliopsida; Poales; Poaceae
Description: long non-coding RNA (SVIR_LNC008597)
Source: RNAcentral
UAUACUCUCCCUAUAUAUAUGAAUCUAAACUGGAUGCGCUAGCUGAUCUCAAUUGCCACCAACCGAAUAAUAUGAAUCUAUAGGUUAGCUACAGUUCAUGUCAUUGCAUAACGCCCAAAAGUUUGAUGCUGAUCGAGUGAUAGAUGAUGAACCAGCUAAUCAAAUUUGCAACUUGCAGAAAAAAAAUAAUUAACUUGCAGAUCUUCACAUGAACACCGAACCCACCAUUAGGCUAGGCUUGCC